UUUUUGCAAUAGGGAUGGAAGCGGCAUCCUUUUUCCGGAGUGAGGUGGCGGAGCGUAGCGGAGCCAACCGAGCGGAGGGAAAAGAUAUAGCGAACAGCCCGACCCGAG
RNAcentral lists this small RNA (108 nucleotides) under Soonwooa buanensis. RNAcentral describes it as "Flavo-1 RNA". It matches the Rfam family "Flavo-1 RNA". The record is from Rfam by way of RNAcentral. Lineage: Bacteria; Pseudomonadati; Bacteroidota; Flavobacteriia; Flavobacteriales; Weeksellaceae.